GGGACACGUGGUAUCCUGUCUGAAUAUGGGGGGACCAUCCUCCAAGGCUAAAUACUCCUGACUGACCGAUAGUGAACCAGUACCGUGAGGGAAAGGCGAAAAGAACCCCGGCGAGGGGAGUGAAAAAGAACCUGAAACCGUGUACGUACAAGCAGUGGGAGCACGCUUAGGCGUGUGACUGCGUACCUUUUGUAUAAUGGGUCAGCGACUUAUAUUCUGUAGCAAGGUUAACCGAAUAGGGGAGCCGAAGGGAAACCGAGUCUUAACUGGGCGUUAAGUUGCAGGGUAUAGACCCGAAACCCGGUGAUCUAGCCAUGGGCAGGUUGAAGGUUGGGUAACACUAACUGGAGGACCGAACCGACUAAUGUUGAAAAAUUAGCGGAUGACUUGUGGCUGGGGGUGAAAGGCCAAUCAAACCGGGAGAUAGCUGGUUCUCCCCGAAAGCUAUUUAGGUAGCGCCUCGUGAAUUCAUCUCCGGGGGUAGAGCACUGUUUCGGCAAGGGGGUCAUCCCGACUUACCAACCCGAUGCAAACUGCGAAUACCGGAGAAUGUUAUCACGGGAGACACACGGCGGGUGCUAACGUCCGUCGUGAAGAGGGAAACAACCCAGACCGCCAGCUAAGGUCCCAAAGUCAUGGUUAAGUGGGAAACGAUGUGGGAAGGCCCAGACAGCCAGGAUGUUGGCUUAGAAGCAGCCAUCAUUUAAAGAAAGCGUAAUAGCUCACUGGUCGAGUCGGCCUGCGCGGAAGAUGUAACGGGGCUAAACCAUGCACCGAAGCUGCGGCAGCGACGCUUAUG
Molecule: ribosomal RNA, 799 nt
Filed under: Escherichia coli
Lineage: Bacteria; Pseudomonadati; Pseudomonadota; Gammaproteobacteria; Enterobacterales; Enterobacteriaceae
Description: partial 23S ribosomal RNA
Rfam family: Bacterial large subunit ribosomal RNA
Source: RNAcentral